AAUAGAUACCCCGGUAGUCCAUGCCGUAAACGUUGGGCGCUAGAUGUGGGGACCAUUCCACGGUUUCCGUGUCGCAGCUAACGCAUUAAGCGCCCCCGCCUGGGGAGUACGGCCGCAAGGCUAAAACUCAAAGGAAUUGACGGGGGGCCCGCACAAGCGGCGGAGCAUGCGGAUUAAUUCGAUGCAACGCGAAGAACCUUACCAAGGCUUGACAUAUACGAGAACGCUCUAGAAAUAGAGAACUCUUUGGACACUCGUAUACAGGUGGUGCAUGGUUGUCGUCAGCUCGUGUCGUGAGAUGUUGGGUUAAGUCCCGCAACGAGCGCAACCCUCGUUCUAUGUUGCCAGCGCGUUAUGGCGGGAACUCAUAGGAGACUGCCGGGGUCAACUCGGAGGAAGGUGGGGAUGACGUCAAAUCAUCAUGCCCCUUAUGUCUUGGGCUUCACGCAUGCUACAAUGGCCGGUACAAAGGGCUGCAAUACCGCAAGGUGGAGCGAAUCCCGAAAACGGCCGGUCUCAGUUCGGAUUGAGGU
This 533-nucleotide ribosomal RNA is filed under the name uncultured bacterium. Its description in RNAcentral is "bacterial SSU rRNA". It matches the Rfam family "Bacterial small subunit ribosomal RNA", at positions 777 to 1304 of the family's 1533-position model. The record is from RNAcentral.